RNAcentral lists this ribosomal RNA (1470 nucleotides) under Triticum aestivum (bread wheat). RNAcentral's name for it is "partial small subunit ribosomal RNA". Lineage: Eukaryota; Viridiplantae; Streptophyta; Magnoliopsida; Poales; Poaceae. The record is from RNAcentral.
AUGCAACAGCAACAACAAAGGCUGCCGUUCUGUGCGAUCCGGCGUAGCAAAGGUAACGGGGGGCUCAUGUAUGCCAAUCAACCGGCGAGACGCACCAUGAUCCUGAUACUGGCCCUGCUGGUCAUUUCUGAUGGAGUUGGCACUGCCACCUGCUCAACAGUCCCCGGUAACAGCACGGACAUGCUCUCGUUGCUAUAUUUCAAGCGGGCCAUCACCAACGAUCCAAGGCAAGUCUUGGGCUCUUGGAACGCCAGCAUCCCGCAUUGCAAGUGGGAGGGGGUCAACUGCAGCCUCACACACCCAGGUCGCAUCACGGAGCUGAACCUUGCCGAGCAAGGGUUGUCAGGUCCGAUUUCCCCAUCCCUUGGGAACCUGACGUUCCUUGAGACACUGGACCUAUCCACAAAUAGCUUCACUGGCGAGUUACCUCCACUCAACAGUCUCCAUAGACUGCAAAAACUUUGGCUGAGUGAAAACUCUUUGCAAGGGAUCAUUCCAGCCACACUUACAAAUAGUUCCAACCUAAAUUCCUUAUAUCUAUCUGGUAACUCCCUGAUAGGUGAAAUCCCCCUUAAUAUAGGCUUGCUUUCCAAAUUAUCAGAAUUACAGAUUGCCGAAAAUAAUCUCACCGGAACGAUCCCACCAAGCCUGAAAAACAUCAGCCAGUUAGAAGUAAUCGAUCUUGCAGAUAAUCAACUCAUGGGUAGCAUUCCUAAUGAGAUAGGGCAAUUUCCGAAUCUGGCAGUUUUAUUACUUGGUGGUAUUACCCUAUCAGGUAGUAUCCCAACAACCUUGCUUAAUCAAUCUUAUCUGCAAAUUUUAGACUUAAGUACCAAUAUGAUAGGGAACACAUUGCCACCUAAUUUUGGUGAUACCCUCCCGAGGCUCGCAUGGCUCACAUUGGACUAUAACAAAUUUGAAGGUCACAUCCCAGCUUCGCUAGGUAAUAUUUCAGGGCUAUCAACAUUGGACCUAUCAUUCAACAAAUUGACAGCUCAAGUUCCAAGUUCUCUUGGUAGGCUUGGAAUGUUGAACGAUCUAAACCUUCAGAAUAAUAAACUUGAAGCAAAGGAUAUUCAAAGCUGGGAAUUCAUAGAUGCAUUGAGCAAUUGCACAUCUCUGCAAGUUCUUGCAGUAGGUCAAAAUCAGUUACAAGGAGCUAUACCAAAUUCUGUUAGCAACCUGUCAAGCAAACUUCAAAUACUAACAUUAGAUAGAAACGACUUGUCAGGGACAAUACCCACUAACAUGGGGAAUCUUAGUGGCUUAACAUUACUAAACUUGCGUAGAAACAAGCUCAGCGGUUCCAUUGAAGGAUGGGUUGGAAAGCUGAAAAAUCUAGCAAUUUUAGUUCUUGAUGAGAAUAACUUCACUGGCCCAAUACCAAACUCUAUCGGUAAUCUUACUAAAUUGAUAAAGAUCUAUCUAGCAAGCAAUGAGUUUGAAGGUCCGAUACCCUCCAGUAUGUGA